This 579-nucleotide ribosomal RNA is filed under the name uncultured bacterium. RNAcentral describes it as "bacterial SSU rRNA". It matches the Rfam family "Bacterial small subunit ribosomal RNA", at positions 338 to 910 of the family's 1533-position model. The record is from RNAcentral.
CCUACGGGAGGCAGCAGUGGGGAAUUUUGGACAAUGGGGGCAACCCUGAUCCAGCCAUUCCGCGUGAGUGAAGAAGGCCUUCGGGUUGUAAAGCUCUUUUGUCCGGAGCGAAACGGGCGCGGCUAAUACCUGCGUCCACUGACGGUACCGGAAGAAUAAGCACCGGCUAACUACGUGCCAGCAGCCGCGGUAAUACGUAGGGUGCGAGCGUUAAUCGGAAUUACUGGGCGUAAAGCGUGCGCAGGCGGUUUUGUAAGCCAGACGUGAAAUCCCCGGGCUUAACCUGGGAAUGGCGUUUGGGACUGCAUGACUUGAGUACGGUAGAGGGGGAUGGAAUUCCGCGUGUAGCAGUGAAAUGCGUAGAUAUGCGGAGGAACACCGAUGGCGAAGGCAAUCCCCUGGACCUGUACUGACGUUCAUGCACGAAAGCGUGGGGAGCAAACAGGAUUAGAUACCCUGGUAGUCCACGCCCUAAACGAUGUCAACUGGUUGUUGGGAAUUCAUUUUCUCAGUAACGAAGCUAACGCGUGAAGUUGACCGCCUGGGGAGUACGGCCGCAAGGUUAAAACUCAAAGGAAU